UACGUAGGGGGCAAGCGUUGUCCGGAUUUAUUGGGCGUAAAGAGCGUGUAGGCGGCCAGGUAGGUGGGUUGUGAAAACUGGAGGCUCAACCUUCAGAGGUCGACCCAAACCCCCUGGCUAGAGUCCGGAAGAGGAGAGUGGAAUUCCUGGUGUAGCGGUGAAAUGCGCAGAUAUCAGGAAGAACACCCGUGGCGAAGGCGGUUCUCUGGGACGGUACUGACGCUGAGACGCGAAAGCGUGGGGAGCGAACAGG
Molecule: ribosomal RNA, 253 nt
Filed under: uncultured bacterium
Lineage: Bacteria
Description: partial 16S ribosomal RNA
Rfam family: Bacterial small subunit ribosomal RNA
Source: RNAcentral